Molecule: ribosomal RNA, 429 nt
Filed under: uncultured delta proteobacterium
Lineage: Bacteria; Deltaproteobacteria
Description: bacterial SSU rRNA
Rfam family: Bacterial small subunit ribosomal RNA
Source: RNAcentral
CAUGGCUCAGAUUGAACGCUGGCGGCAUGCCUAACACAUGCAAGUCGAACGCGAAAGAGGGGCAACUCUUGAGUAGAGUGGCGGACGGGUGAGAAAUGCGUAGGAAUCUGCCUUGAAGUGGGGGAUAACUCGGGGAAACUCGGGCUAAUACCGCAUAACCUCCUCAGCAAUGAGGAGCAAAGGGGCCUUGUAGCAAUACAAGGUUUCGCUUUGAGAUGAGCUUACGUCGGAUUAGCUAGUUGGUAGGGUAAUGGCCUACCAAGGCAACGAUCCGUAGCUGGUUUGAGAGAACGACCAGCCACACUGGAACUGAGACACGGUCCAGACUCCUACGGGAGGCAGCAGUGGGGAAUAUUGGACAAUGGGGGAAACCCUGAUCCAGCAAUGCCGCGUGUGCGAUGAAGGCCUGCGGGUUGUAAAGCACUUUCG